This is a long non-coding RNA of Belonocnema kinseyi, 1355 nucleotides long. RefSeq lists it as uncharacterized. Lineage: Eukaryota; Metazoa; Arthropoda; Insecta; Hymenoptera; Cynipidae. The transcript is spliced from 2 exons. The record is from RefSeq and is a predicted model, not a curated record.
UAAAAUGGAGUUUCUGGUCCUAAAAGUUUUUUUGGAAUUCUGACUAAAAUUUUGACUUUAAAAAAAAUCGUUUGCGGUACAAUUGGUCACAAACCUAGCACAAUUCAGCACAAUUUUGGUUUUUUUGAAAAAAUGGCGUUGCCAACUUCUUGGACAUCAGGAAAAGACUACAAGGACAUCACAGGAGUAAUAAAUCCGCAGUUAAGCACCAGCAGUUCAAUUCAGGAGGAUGGGAAUACUUCUUGAUAGUUCUGUGUCAAAGCUGAUUAGUACCGACCUACUGAUCCAGGAUUGACGGUAGACCCAAAAUCUACUUUUGGAGACCUCUUCAUUGGACUACAUAAUUUGACUUAGUGUACCUCAUGACUAAGUCACUUUGGCAAAAUACUAUUCUAAUAUUUCAAUCCACAGCCGUGAUUUUUCGGGUGUCAUCUUUUGUUCUUAUUUUCAAAUCGAAAUUUCAUUUCUGACGAGAACUGUUUCCUCUCUCUGUUGAGCAAUUCUUAAUUUGCCAAACUCACAAAUUAAAACUGAUUUUCUUAACAACAUACGACACAAAAAAUCUCACCUGCAAAGAUGAUGAAGAGGUCGAAGCAUCUCUUCUAAUAUACAGGGUUUAUUUUCUAGAAAAGAAAGAGCAAUAGCUCCGGUUUCGAGAGUUGAUAAGCAUCCUUCAUUAGGUUGUGUCCUAAUAACGUAUUGACUAGUUGGAACUCCAACUAUUUUGCAUGCUCGAAGAGAAUUCAACACUGGACUGGCAUGGUAUAUAGCCUGUAACAAAUGAAAUAUUAUUGAGAAUUCCUAAUUAGACUCUAAACCAAUAUCCCAAAGAAAAUAGUCUUACAAAUUGUUCUGAAUAUAGAGUGCAUCAACUGCAUUCUAAUUCAAUCCAGUAUCGUAUCUCUAUUUCUUAGUAAAUGAAGAUAAGACGCUAUAGCGUACUAAAGUUGUUUUGAUACACUUUGUAAUCAGAAAUCUUUGUUAAAAUAACGGAAUUUCGGAAAUAAGGUGGACAAAUUAUGCGCAUUUAUAAAUUAUAACAUUUUUUGCAUUCUGAUCCAAACACCUAAAAUCUAUUGUUCGUUCAUUUAAAGACAUUGAAUAAAAAUAUUUUUUACAAAUAAUAGUUCCGAUGCAAAAAAAUUCCGCAAGUAAAAAAGUAUCAGUAUAAUAAACAUUAGGGUAAUUCAUUUAAACUACGACUAUUCUUAAUAUUUCGUCUCGUCCCCUAGUUUUGUUUCCAAACUUGUAGAAAAUGGAAAAUAUGGAAAAAAGGCAACUUCUUCUUAAUGUGUCGCUAAUCGCGAAAAUAUGGCACUAACGGAACUUAUAAUACCUGUCCCUGUUCAGAAUAC